This 407-nucleotide ribosomal RNA is filed under the name Verrucomicrobiota bacterium. RNAcentral describes it as "Verrucomicrobia bacterium partial 16S ribosomal RNA". It matches the Rfam family "Bacterial small subunit ribosomal RNA", at positions 355 to 776 of the family's 1533-position model. Lineage: Bacteria; Pseudomonadati; Verrucomicrobiota. The record is from RNAcentral.
UGGGGAAUAUUGGACAAUGGAGGAAACUCUGAUCCAGCAAUUCUGUGUGUGUGAAGAAGGUUUUAGGACUGUAAAACACUUUUAGUAGGGAAGAAAAAAAUGACGGUACCUACAGAAGAAGCAACGGCUAAAUACGUGCCAGCAGCCGCGGUAAUACGUAUGUUGCGAGCGUUAUCCGGAAUUAUUGGGCUUAAAGGGCAUCUAGGCGGUAAGAUAAGUUGAAGGUGAAAACCUGUGGCUCAACCAUAGGCUUGCCUACAAAACUGUUGAACUAGAGUCCUGGAAAGGUGGGUGGAACUACACGAGUAGCGGUGAAAUUCAUAAAUAUGUUUAGAAAUGCCGAUGAUGAAGAUAACUCCCUGGACAGAAACUGACGCUGAAGUGCGAAAGCUAGGGGAGCAAACAGG